CCCGUAAUCCGGGUUGCGGACAGUGUCUGGUGGGUAGUUUGACUGGGGCGGUCUCCUCCUAAAGAGUAACGGAGGAGCACGAAGGUUGGCUAAUCCUGGUCGGACAUCAGGAGGUUAGUGCAAUGGCAUAAGCCAGCUUGACUGCGAGCGUGACGGCGCGAGCAGGUGCGAAAGCAGGUCAUAGUGAUCCGGUGGUUCUGAAUGGAAGGGCCAUCGCUCAACGGAUAAAAGGUACUCCGGGGAUAACAGGCUGAUACCGCCCAAGAGUUCAUAUCGACGGCGGUGUUUGGCACCUCGAUGUCGGCUCAUCACAUCCUGGGGCUGAAGUAGGUCCCAAGGGUAUGGCUGUUCGCCAUUUAAAGUGGUACGCGAGCUGGGUUUAGAACGUCGUGAGACAGUUCGGUCCCUAUCUGCCGUGGGCGCUGGAGAACUGAGGGGGGCUGCUCCUAGUACGAGAGGACCGGAGUGGACGCAUCACUGGUGUUCGGGUUGUCAUGCCAAUGGCACUGCCCGGUAGCUAAAUGCGGAAGAGAUAAGUGCUGAAAGCAUCUAAGCACGAAACUUGCCCCGAGAUGAGUUCUCCCUGAGACUUAGAGUCUCCUGAAG
This 606-nucleotide ribosomal RNA is filed under the name Salmonella enterica subsp. enterica serovar Kiambu. Its description in RNAcentral is "partial 23S ribosomal RNA". It matches the Rfam family "Bacterial large subunit ribosomal RNA", at positions 2232 to 2833 of the family's 2925-position model. Lineage: Bacteria; Pseudomonadati; Pseudomonadota; Gammaproteobacteria; Enterobacterales; Enterobacteriaceae. The record is from RNAcentral.